This 29-nucleotide non-coding RNA is filed under the name unclassified sequences. The record is from RNAcentral.
CUAUGACCUAUUGGUUAUGGCGGAAGGAG